Molecule: ribosomal RNA, 470 nt
Filed under: uncultured bacterium
Lineage: Bacteria
Description: bacterial SSU rRNA
Rfam family: Bacterial small subunit ribosomal RNA
Source: RNAcentral
GAUGAACGCUGGCGGCGUGCAUAACACAUUCAAGUCGAACGAGGUAGCAAUACCUAGUGGCGGACGGGUGAGUAACGCGUGAGCAACCUGCCCUUGUGUGGGGGAUACCGUCUGGAAACGGACGUUAAUACCGCAUAACACAAGAGGACCGCAUGAUCCUCUUGUCAAAGAUUUAUUGCGCAAGGAUGGGCUCGCGUUGGAUUAGAUAGUUGGUGAGGUAACGGCCCACCAAGUCUGCGAUCCAUAGCCGGACUGAGAGGUUGAACGGCCACAUUGGAACUGAGAUACGGUCCAGACUCCUACGGGAGGCAGCAGUGAGGAAUAUUGGUCAAUGGGCGAGAGCCUGAACCAGCCAAGUAGCGCGAAGGAAGACUGCCCUAUGGGUUGUAAACUUCUUUUGUUCGGGAAUAAAGUGCAGUACGCGUACUGUUUUGUAUGUACCGUUCGAAUAAGCAUCGGCUAAUUCCGUG